RNAcentral lists this ribosomal RNA (300 nucleotides) under uncultured Alteromonadaceae bacterium. Its description in RNAcentral is "bacterial SSU rRNA". It matches the Rfam family "Bacterial small subunit ribosomal RNA", at positions 114 to 417 of the family's 1533-position model. Lineage: Bacteria; Pseudomonadati; Pseudomonadota; Gammaproteobacteria; Alteromonadales; Alteromonadaceae. The record is from RNAcentral.
CGCGUGGGAAUCUACCUAGUAGUGGGGACAACAGUUGGAAACGACUGCUAAUACCGCAUACGCCCUACGGGGGAAAGGCGGAGGAUCUUCGGACUUCGUGCUAUUGGAUGAGCCCGCGUGAGAUUAGUUUGUUGGUGGGGUAAUGGCCUACCAAGACUGCGAUCUCUAGCUGGUCUGAGAGGAUGAUCAGCCACACUGGAACUGAGACACGGCCCAGACUCCUACGGGAGGCAGCAGUGGGGAAUAUUGGACAAUGGGCGAAAGCCUGAUCCAGCAACGCCGCGUGAGGGAUGACGGCCU